RNAcentral lists this transfer RNA (69 nucleotides) under Thalassiosira punctigera. It matches the Rfam family "tRNA". Rfam says of the family: Transfer RNA (tRNA) molecules are approximately 80 nucleotides in length. Their secondary structure includes four short double-helical elements and three loops (D, anti-codon, and T loops). Further hydrogen bonds mediate the characteristic L-shaped molecular structure. tRNAs have two regions of fundamental functional importance: the anti-codon, which is responsible for specific mRNA codon recognition, and the 3' end, to which the tRNAs corresponding amino acid is attached (by aminoacyl-tRNA synthetases). tRNAs cope with the degeneracy of the genetic code in two manners: having more than one tRNA (with a specific anti-codon) for a particular amino acid; and 'wobble' base-pairing, i.e. permitting non-standard base-pairing at the 3rd anti-codon position. The record is from RNAcentral. Lineage: Eukaryota; Bacillariophyta; Thalassiosirophyceae; Thalassiosirales; Thalassiosiraceae.
CAGCUGUGGCGCAAUCGCAGCGCGUAGCACUCCUAAUGCUGAGGUUGCGGGUUCAAGUCCCGCCUGCUG